This 30-nucleotide non-coding RNA is filed under the name Homo sapiens (human). Lineage: Eukaryota; Metazoa; Chordata; Mammalia; Primates; Hominidae. The record is from RNAcentral.
UCGAGAUGCGUUUCGAAAGAUUGCAGGAGA